GACAGAGGAUGCAAACGUUGCUCGGAAUUACUGGGCGUAAAGCGCGCGUAGGCGGCUUUGCAAGUCGGGUGUGAAAUCCCCAGGCUUAACCUGGGAGCUGCAUUCGAGACUGCAUUGCUAGAGUAUGGGAGAGGGAAGUGGAAUUUCCGGUGUAGCGGUGAAAUGCGUAGAUAUCGGAAGGAACAUCAGUGGCGAAAGCGACUUCCUGGACCAAUACUGACGCUCAUGUGCGAAAGCGUGGGGAGCAAACAGG
Molecule: ribosomal RNA, 253 nt
Filed under: uncultured bacterium
Lineage: Bacteria
Description: partial 16S ribosomal RNA
Rfam family: Bacterial small subunit ribosomal RNA
Source: RNAcentral